This is a long non-coding RNA of Pseudophryne corroboree (corroboree frog), 2697 nucleotides long. RefSeq lists it as uncharacterized. The record is from RefSeq and is a predicted model, not a curated record. The transcript is spliced from 4 exons. NCBI's taxonomy places the organism in Eukaryota, Metazoa, Chordata, Amphibia, Anura, Myobatrachidae.
AGUCCAGUUCACAAAGUACUAGAGGGAGGGUGGCAACAUGUUUUGGGGGCGGGCUAUUUCAGUGUGGGUGAGUCAUAUGGAAUGUGCCCAGCUUAGACUCACUCGCAGCCGGACCAGUUUGUUCAGCAGCAGCUGGUGACUCCCGUCCAGCAGCGGAAGUAUGGGCACUCUUAUGUUCAGGCUGACGCUGGGAGGAAGGCAAGGCCAUUUACAGGGAACUCCUGUCCCCGCCUCCGCCUAGCUCCUCAACUAGUGCUGCACGAUAUUCUUGAUCUCUGCAGAGACAAACCCAGUCUCUGCCCUGCUAAGCUCUAGAGGCUGGUCCCUCCCCCAAGAUCAGCCACCAGUGAGCAGCAUUCUAUUUUCACAGACCACCCCUACUUCUCAACCUUCUUCCUCCUUUGGGGCGCCAACCCCAAAAUACCACCAUUCCCAAGAUGGAAAAUCAGUUUAUGCUGAUGCUGGUCCUAACAGUGCCGCAGAUCCCCUGUUCACUGGCCUCACUCAAGUUAGUGAUGUGGCUGCGCUACCCGUCUCUCAUUCUGUCAGCAGGACAAGGUUGAAGCCCACUCGCUGCAGGCUGACCCCAGAAGUGCAGGAAGAGUGUUCUCUUGGCCUGAGCUGCAGCGGAGCUUUAACAAAUGCCUGGAUUAAGAUUGAAAGGUUGGAUUUGGGCAGUUUGAUCUGUUCAUGAAAGAGAUGUUAAACAGCGCAGCUGAUGUUUGCCCAGCAAAUUACAGCCUGCUGAAGGGAAAUGUCAACAGACAUUGGCCCUCCAGUAAAUCCAUCCAAUUUCUAUCAUGUGUUUGCACACUUAGUUGAGAUGUGAACAUCGGGCAUCAGACAAGCUGAGUGUACAAGUAAAUAAAACGAAAUAAAAAAAAUAAUGCAGAGCCUGAGACAAAAUCCUACAGUUGUCUCCCCUGCAGUCAGGAAGAUUGGGUUGGAAUCUGCUUUACUUCUCAGAGAGCAAAUCAGCUCCAAACUCCUGCACACAAUGCAUACUCUCCCGAGCUCCCCUUUCUAGCACUGCCUAAAGGCUGGAUUGCCAUGCUUAAACCACUGACUACUGUACAGCUGAAAUAUAGAUGAGAUUUAAAUGCAUAGUAUAAGCCAUAGGAAAAUUGGUUGCAAAUAUUCCAAAAAGAAAAUGUAUAGUAAUCUGUCCUUGUAACUGCAUGAAAAAACAGGACAGCUUCAUCACCACUGCUGGAGGUCCGAUAAUGAUCUUCUGUAUACAGAGCAGCCCUUGCUAAUAACCCCGAACAACAGACUUCUGCAUAAAAUCACACAUCUAUGUGUUGCCUCAGUAGAGAUAAUGCCCCUGAGUACGACCAAACCUCAAAUGAAAGGAUUUUCUGUAAAAAUGGAGUUAUUAGGUUUGUAUGGAGGAUUCACAAAUAGCCAUAUUUACUUUUUUUUGUUGGAUUAAUGAAGUCAUUUUGAAACAAUUCUACAUCUUUGAUUUGUUCUCUUGGCUUUGCCGGCAGAUAAUCUUUCCAUCUCUCAGUGUUCCUGCCUCAAUACGGAACAAUGAAGGGUAUGUAUGCAGAAGUAAUAUCUGCUAUGAAACCUUCCGAUUUUUGUAGCUCUCAUUUGAGAGAACUAUUCAUGAUUUUUUGAUCAUUUCAGCCACCCUGCUGUGCACGGUCAGAGAAUAUCUCCAUCUUUUUGAUAUUGUAUCACAUUUUAUUUUUAUUAUCAUGCUCCUUUGGGUGCAGAAAAGGUGUCUUUAUGACUUUUGUGACCAUGAUGCUGGGGAAGAAAGGAAACUACCAUGUUCAUUUUCAGAACAAGCCUUCCCCAGUAAAAUCACUGUGACAUAUUCAAUCAGAACCACUGAGAAACUGCUUGCAACCUGAACUGGCUGAAGAAAUUGCAACCAUUGCAAAACACACUUCAAUUGUUGUUUAGAUGCCCAGGACUGGUUCAGUUGUUUUUUUUAACUCAUCAAUGAAUUCGUUUUCACCAGUCAAAUGCAAAUUGCACCAAUUACAAAUACUAAAAAGUCACUCACUAGCUGUAGGUUAUGAAGAUGGACAGUGCAUUUCAUCUGGCAAAAUAUGUUUAUGGGUUUUUUUCUCCACUCAUCACAUAGACAUACUAUAUACCUCCUAACUGUCCUAAUUCCAGGGAAACAGUCCUGAUUGCAAGUUCUGUCCUUCUACCAGAUUAGCCAAGCAGUUAAAGGGCUGGUUCAGGGCAGCGGAACUACAGGGCAUGCUCCCAUGAUACAUGGCCAUAUCUCCUGAUGCAUGGCUACCCACCUCUUCUCAGGUGUGCACUGUGCAAUGAUGCCCUGCUUCAACCAGUACAAAUGUUGGAAGAUAUGAAUACACAAAUGCUGGCCUCCAUUCAACUUUUGGAACAUGUCCUUGUAUAAAUGUCCCAUGCAUCUUUUUGAGGAUUGUCAUCCCAGUUUGAAAGAGUAAAAAUGUAAUUUCAUUGUCCAGCCUCGUAUCACUUUGUCAUAUUAAACUUUUCCUUUUUAAUCCUAAAAACUGCUGUGCCAUGCCUCAUUAACUCAUUUACAGUAUGCGCUAACUAGAUUUAGCGGAUAUGGAGACUGUCUUUAUUACAUGCCUUUCUUACUGUUUUUAUCACAGGUGCCACAUCUGUCCAGUUAGGUACCGUGUUCUCUGUGUUCCUAUUGGCAAUAUUGGAAAUAAAUAAAAAAAAAACAUUCUAGAAGUGUGU